GACGAACGCUGGCGGCGUGCUUAACACAUGCAAGUCGAACGGAAAGGCCCUGCUUUUGUGGGGUGCUCGAGUGGCGAACGGGUGAGUAACACGUGAGUAACCUGCCCUUGACUUUGGGAUAACUUCAGGAAACUGGGGCUAAUACCGGAUAGGAGCUCCUGCUGCAUGGUGGGGGUUGGAAAGUUUCGGCGGUUGGGGAUGGACUCGCGGCUUAUCAGCUUGUUGGUGGGGUAGUGGCUUACCAAGGCUUUGACGGGUAGCCGGCCUGAGAGGGUGACCGGCAACAUGGGGACUGAGAUACGGCCCAGACUCCUACGGGAGGCAGCAGUGGGGAAUAUUGCACAAUGGGCGGAGGCCUGAUGCAGCAACGCCGCGUGCGGGAUGACGGCCUUCGGGUUGUAAACCGCUUUCGCCUGUGACGAAGCGUGAGUGACGGUAAUGGGUAAAGAAGCACCGGCUAACUACGUG
This 468-nucleotide ribosomal RNA is filed under the name uncultured bacterium. RNAcentral describes it as "partial 16S ribosomal RNA". It matches the Rfam family "Bacterial small subunit ribosomal RNA", at positions 28 to 507 of the family's 1533-position model. The record is from RNAcentral.